CAUGACUCAUGAGUGUUGUCACAUCUCUGUAAUUUGGGUUUAUGAUGAUACUCUAUACUAUUUAUUGUAGCUUUAUUAGAUCUCAACCUGUGGAAGUAAUCUAAUACAAACGACACUUGUAUGGAAUUUUCAGGACAUGUUUCUAAGAUCACAGAGGAUACGAUACUCUCUAGGUUUGAGGACUAGCUCCAGUUACGCUUUUGGGUCCAGUGAAUGUAUGAUACCCAUUAUGUGGUCCAAAAAGAAUGAGAUUUGACGGACGCUCUAGUGGCCAAAUUCAUAUGGCUACCUUCACUCUAUGCCUUAAGAGCUGAAAAGUUUCCGUGGUUUCGAAUACUUUGCUUCUUUCAGAUUAACGAAAACCCUAUUUAGUUGCAAAGACUGAGAAGAGAAUAAGAGUCGAGGGACCAUAUAAAGCUUGUAAUUGUACGUUUAUGCGGAUUCUCCACUUUCCAUGGCUGUGAGAAACUAUCUGAGGAAAAGUGCAGUGACCUUUGGCAAAAGAUCACUGAAUAAAUUUUCUGGUGGUCUGAGAACUCGCUGCAGUGAAUGAAUGAGAUCCAUGUAAGUGGCCCCAAAAGAACAUAAUUUACAACACUCUGGUAGGUAAAUUCAUGUGGAUACUAAAACUGACUCAUUUAUGGCUAAAAAGUAUUGAUUUGGUACAUGAAUUCAUCAGCUUAACCGUUGAAGUGGGAAGCUAUCCUAGUGGUAAAUAAGUUGAUCUCUGGCCCUUUCCAGGUGGCAAAAAGUGAAGGCUUUACAGUGUCACCCUUUUUCUUUUGGUUGCGUCGUUAUUCUUUAGUGCCAGUAUAUACCUUGGAAAAAGUGAGCUAUUAUUCUAAAAGAUAGACCAAGAAAUAGAUUUCUCACACUGAAUAUCUUUGUUCAUUUGGAUGGUCCAUAGGCAUUGACAUAUUCUGCUAGUAGUGGUUGUGAGUGAUAGAAUCUUGUUAUCCGAGACAACCUCGUGGGAAUGGAUUUAGCACCAAUGCUAAUCACUAAUCAGUACAAGAAUAUGCGUUGAUGUAAUUGUACCUAUUAGCAUUGUUCACUCAGGAUUCUUGGUUAUUUGUUACCUGACUAUUCAGUGUGUGAUUUUAUUGGAGUUUUACAUGUUUACACUUGUCUCUGUAAUCUACUUUUGGUAUAAAAUCAUAUUGAGUACAACUUUCUUUUCUCAGGGAUGUGCGAAAUUGUCUUUGGGGCGGCAUAAGUGGAAUCAUUUAUCUUCUACGUGAUAAAGUGAUGUGGAAAGUGUCACCAAGAAAGGAAUCAUUAACUUUGAACUUAGGCAAGGUGAGUUACGUGUUGACUGUUCUUGGUACAGCUAGCUAUACUAAUGCAUAUCUCUUUGUAGCAUCAGUUUGAAUUUAGACUGUAGGGCAGUAUUUCAUAGAUAAGAGGACUUCUACCAAGUGGGCAAAAUUUGUAUUAACUUACAGCAGCUAAGUAUGAGUGUAUAUCUAAUUAACUCGUACUAGUUAGGCAAAACUAGUAAACUACAGACCCUAUAUGCAUAAAACCGUGGUAAUAACUUGCAGGAAUUUCAAACCAGAAGUAAUUUACAAGCAUGCAGUCUAGUUUUGCCAUAGCAGCAUCAGAAUGAUGGAACAAUUCCAUAUCCGGUGUCAAAUGUUAUCAUUGUGGAGAAAGCUUGGUUUGCCUCUUCAUCGACAUCUUUCUUCUUUGCAAACCGGCCCUUGAUCCGACUCUAGCUUCUCUGUCCCUUGGACUGAGCAUCUGAGCUGGAGGGUAAGGUGGUUGGUCUGUUACCGCUUUGGGCGAUCUUGGGUUUGAUACUGUUGCGUCACUCGUUGUUGACUCCGGCACAACUCCCAGGUCCAUAGAUGAAACAUUCACCUAAUGACAGUAACAAAGACAUUCUUAGAAAUUUACUUCAUGGAUUUGUGUGAAAGAAGCAGCAUGCUGGUCAUAGUAACGGAUCUGAAUUAAAUAUAUGAAAGCUUACCAUAUGACUGAGGGAACCAUUGGAGCUUCGAAGAGCUCCCCAGGAGCCACAGUUGAUACUCAGCUGAAAGUUCUGUUGCUCUUGGUACAUGCCCUUUGAUACUUCAAUUUGAAGUGGAACAACUCCAUCUUCCCCAUAGCUCCUCUGAGGUACGUUGCAGUCUAGUUGAUACUGAUUGGAUUGAUCUGUGAAUUGCUUAUCACUCGAACUAUAAUCAACAAGGUUCAGAAACUCAUCCCCAAUCGAGAAGCCAUUGUUGUUACCACUGUUUUUCCCUGAAUUAGGCAACAACCAUGAAGCCGCCUCUGCUUCAUCUUCAUCCUCUUCUUCUUGACCAAGCACAAGUCUGUUCUCUGGAUCUGUCACUGUUGUCUCACAUGAAUGGUUAGUGGCCGUGGAACUGUAAGAGUACUCAGAAAUGGGCAGAAUUGGAACUCGUUGAUGGCGUCUAGCAAGUGGGUUUGCGGAAUGAAUCUCUGAAUCACAGGUUGUGCAUAGAGAUGCAGCAUCUGCCUUGCAGAAAAAGGCAGCCGGGGCUCGCUCACAUGAUUGACAGACUCGAACACGUUCAUGGCGGGAAGCAAGACGAUUGGCAGCAUGAACUUGAGCAUCACAACUGGAGCACAAGUAGGCAGAAUCAGCCCGGCAGUACACGGUGCAGGCGGCUGAUCGGCAUGUAUCACAGGCUUGUGCCCAGUUACUCUCUACUUUCAACAUACUAACCGCAGAUGUUGUAGUUGUUUGAUGGUGAGUGAGAUCGUAUGUAAAGGCAGCAGGGGACUAAGAAGGCUAUAUUAGUUGUUGAAUGGAAAUGGAAAGGAAGGAUAGAAUUCUGAGGGCUGGACACGUGGCGAGAAGUUUGUGGGUUUGAUGUUGAGUGAUCAUCUUGUGGCUGGCUGAGUUUUUGAGAAGGGGUCCAGUGCAGAGAUGCUUACAGCUUUGGAAUCAUCAACCAGCACGAAAUGUGAAAGAAAGAAAAAAACUAAUUGUCUUCUUAUAUCUUUGCAAUGGCACCAAUAGUUACUACUUUUUCUCUCUUUCUUCCUCAAUAAGUGUAAACACCUCUUCCUAUGUAAUCUUCUAUAGGACCCAUCCACAUGUUACCUAGGUUCUGAAACGUGCAACUUCUAACUAUUUUUGUAUCAUCUACUACUAUUUUGGUAAAG
This 3138-nucleotide long non-coding RNA is filed under the name Arabidopsis thaliana (thale cress). Its description in RNAcentral is "potential natural antisense gene, locus overlaps with AT5G15850 (AT5G15845)". The record is from RNAcentral. Lineage: Eukaryota; Viridiplantae; Streptophyta; Magnoliopsida; Brassicales; Brassicaceae.